GUCGAGAAUUUUUCACAAUGGGCGCAAGCCUGAUGGAGCGACGCCGCGUGGGGGAUGAAGGGCUUCGGUCCGUAAACCCCUGUCAUUUGCGAACAAGGCGUUUGACCUAACACGUCAGACGUUGAUAGUAGCGAAAGAGGAAGGGACGGCUAACUCUGUGCCAGCAGCCGCGGUAAUACAGAGGUCCCAAGCGUUGUUCGGAUUCACUGGGCGUAAAGGGUGCGUAGGUGGCGGGGUAAGUUCGGUGUGAAAGCUUCGAGCUCAACUCGGAAAUGGCAUUGAAUACUAUCCUGCUCGAGGGUCGGAGGGGAGACUGGAAUUCUCGGUGUAGCAGUGAAAUGCGUAGAUAUCGAGAGGAACACCAGUGGCGAAGGCGAGUCUCUGGACGACUCCUGACACUGAGGCACGAAAGCUAGGGGAGCAAACAGGAUUAGAAACCCCUGUAGUCC
RNAcentral lists this ribosomal RNA (449 nucleotides) under uncultured bacterium. Its description in RNAcentral is "bacterial SSU rRNA". It matches the Rfam family "Bacterial small subunit ribosomal RNA", at positions 354 to 796 of the family's 1533-position model. The record is from RNAcentral.